This 497-nucleotide ribosomal RNA is filed under the name uncultured bacterium. RNAcentral describes it as "partial 16S ribosomal RNA". It matches the Rfam family "Bacterial small subunit ribosomal RNA", at positions 28 to 507 of the family's 1533-position model. The record is from RNAcentral.
GAUGAACGCUGGCGGCGUGCCUAAUACAUGCAAGUCGAGCGAACAGAUGAGGAGCUUGCUCCUCUGACGUUAGCGGCGGACGGGUGAGUAACACGUGGAUAACCUACCUAUAAGACUGGGAUAACUUCGGGAAACCGGAGCUAAUACCGGAUAAUAUAUUGAACCGCAUGGUUCAAUAGUGAAAGACGGUUUUGCUGUCACUUAUAGAUGGAUCCGCGCCGCAUUAGCUAGUUGGUAAGGUAACGGCUUACCAAGGCAACGAUGCGUAGCCGACCUGAGAGGGUGAUAGGCCACACUGGAACUGAGACACGGGCCAGACUCCUACGGGAGGCAGCAGUAGGGAAUCGUCCGCAAUGGGCGAAAGCCUGACGGAGCAACGCCGCGUGAGUGAUGAAGGUCUUCGGAUCGUAAAACUCUGUUAUUAGGGAAGAACAAAUGUGUAAGUAACUAUGCACGUCUUGACGGUACCUAAUCAGAAAGCCACGGCUAACUACGUG